RNAcentral lists this ribosomal RNA (253 nucleotides) under uncultured bacterium. Its description in RNAcentral is "partial 16S ribosomal RNA". It matches the Rfam family "Bacterial small subunit ribosomal RNA", at positions 524 to 776 of the family's 1533-position model. The record is from RNAcentral.
UACGGAGGAGGCAAGCGUUGUCCGGAAUUAUUGGGCGUAAAGCGUCCGUAGGUGGUUCACCAAGUCUGCUGUCAAAGGGUGGGGCUUAACCUCAUAAAGGCAGUGGAAACUGGUGAGCUAGAGUGCGGUAGGGGUAAGGGGAAUUCCCAGUGUAGCGGUGAAAUGCGUAGAGAUUGGGAAGAACAUCGGUGGCGAAAGCGCCUUACUGGGCCUGCACUGACACUGAGGGACGAAAGCUAGGGGAGCGAAAGGG